UGAACGCUAGCUACAGGCUUAACACAUGCAAGUCGAGGGGCAGCAUUGGAGUAGCAAUACUCAGAUGGCGACCGGCGCACGGGUGAGUAACACGUAUCCAACCUGCCGCUUACUCGGGGAUAGCCUUUCGAAAGAAAGAUUAAUACCCGAUGGUAUAAAGAGUUCGCAUGUUCUCUUUAUUAAAGAAUUUCGGUAAGCGAUGGGGAUGCGCUCCAUUAGAUAGUUGGCGGGGUAACGGCCCACCAAGUCUACGAUGGAUAGGGGGUUCUGAGAGGAAGGUCCCCCACAUUGGAACUGAGACACGGUCCAAACUCCUACGGGAGGCAGCAGUGAGGAAUAUUGGUCAAUGGACGCGAGUCUGAACCAGCCAAAAGUAGCGUGAAGGAUGACUGCCCUAUGGGUUGUAAACUUCUUUUAUAAGGGAAUAAAGUGAGGGACGCGUCCCUUUUUGUAUGUACCUUAUGAAUAAGGAUCGGCUAACUCCGUGCCAGCCGCCGC
Molecule: ribosomal RNA, 498 nt
Filed under: uncultured bacterium
Lineage: Bacteria
Description: bacterial SSU rRNA
Rfam family: Bacterial small subunit ribosomal RNA
Source: RNAcentral